CUCACCUUUGCCCCCUGCAUUCAGUCUGUCUCUAAAGCCUGAUUUUUCAACAUCAAAAACAUUGCUCAUAUUCAAGAUUCAAGUAAGGAACUUUGUUUGUGCAACUAUCAUUUCCUUAACUAUAGCAACUCACUCCUCAGCGACCUCCCAAUUACUUGCAUUGCCCACUUCAAUCUGUAAUGAAUGCUGCCCCAGACUUAUCUUUCU
Pelobates cultripes (western spadefoot toad) is the source of this 207-nucleotide non-coding RNA. NCBI's taxonomy places the organism in Eukaryota, Metazoa, Chordata, Amphibia, Anura, Pelobatidae. The record is from the annotation of a GenBank genome assembly.